AACGCACAUUGCACCUCCCGUGAGGGAGGUAUGCCUGUCUGAGCGUCAUUAAAACCAAUAAAUCCAAGGAUUUGUGCUGGGCUCCGCAUGAAUGCGUUGCCUUGAAACCAUGGCCUAGCCUGUGGACGAGCUCCAGUCGGACCUGCCAUGGGCUUGAGACCAUCUGAAUUUGACCUCAGAUCAGGUAGGGAGACCGCCUGAACUUAA
RNAcentral lists this unclassified non-coding RNA (207 nucleotides) under uncultured fungus. Its description in RNAcentral is "sequence contains ITS2". The record is from RNAcentral. Lineage: Eukaryota; Fungi.